This 497-nucleotide ribosomal RNA is filed under the name uncultured bacterium. Its description in RNAcentral is "partial 16S ribosomal RNA". It matches the Rfam family "Bacterial small subunit ribosomal RNA", at positions 28 to 507 of the family's 1533-position model. The record is from RNAcentral.
GAUGAACGCUGGCGGCGUGCCUAAUACAUGCAAGUCGAGCGAACGGACGAGAAGAUUGCUUCUCUGAUGUUAGCGGCGGACGGGUGAGUAACACGUGGAUAACCUACCUAUAAGACUGGGAUAACUUCGGGAAACCGGAGCUAAUACCGGAUGAUAUUUUGAACCGCAUGGUUCAAAAGUGAAAGACGGUCUUGCUGUCACUUAUAGAUGGAUCCGCGCUGCAUUAGCUAGUUGGUAAGGUAACGGCUUACCAAGGCAACGAUGCAUAGCCGACCUGAGAGGGUGAUCCGCCACACUGGAACUGAGACACGGUCCAGACUCCUACGGGAGGCAGCAGUAGGGAAUCUUCCGCAAUGGGCGAAAGCCUGACGGAGCAACGCCGCGUGAGUGAUGAAGGUCUUCGGAUCGUAAAACUCUGUCAUUAGGGAAGAACAUAUGUGUAAGUAACUGUGCACAUCUUGACGGUACCUAAUCAGAAAGCCACGGCUAACUACGUG